This 2442-nucleotide ribosomal RNA is filed under the name Triticum aestivum (bread wheat). RNAcentral's name for it is "partial small subunit ribosomal RNA". The record is from RNAcentral. Lineage: Eukaryota; Viridiplantae; Streptophyta; Magnoliopsida; Poales; Poaceae.
AUGGCGGCGGGGUUGCCGGCGCUAUGUGCGGAGGAGGAGGGAGGAGAGGGUGCGGGGGUGGGGCGCAUCGGAGGCAUCUUCAUCGCGGAGGAGUGGAGAGAAAUUAAGGCGAGAUCGAGGCAAAUCCUGCGGACUGCCGCGGACCGAAAGAGCUGCCUGGGAAGAUUGAAGAAGAGGGCGGAGGAAAUCUUGGGCGGAUCCUCAGGUGAGCUUGCUUCUAAUUAUGGACGAGGAUUGCCGGAUCCCUUCUGUCCAGGAAAGGAAGCAGUAGCAGAGAGGGGAUCGAGUCUUCUCUCCUUUGUUCAGAUAGCGCGUCCCAUGGAGAACAAGAGUGAUGCUAAGGGGGUUUGUGGGGAGGGAGAUACACAGGGGGUGGUGAGUACUGGAGAAGAGAUGGAAUCGGUGGUGGUGGUGAGGACUCAGGUGACGGCCAGGGGGGACGACCCCCUUCUUGGCCGUACGGUGGCGGAGCACAAGGGGAAGUUGGCUAUGAGACGCUUCCGGGGCGAGGCUCCUCCUCUUGUCAUCGACAUGGAUGCUGCUAGGAGGGCCGUCUCUGGCUUCCUGGUAGUUGGACGCUUCUUGGCACCUUUCAAGGUGAACCCCCGGGCCAUCGUUGACGAGCUCCGAAACUCCGGGGCGUGGCGGCUUCAGGGUACGACCACCGUCCAAGAGGUGGCCAGCGAGGACGGGCGCUUUGUCCUCAAUUUCUCCUCCGAGGGGGAUCGACGGUUUGUGCUCAAGGCACAACCAUGGCACUAUAAUCGGGACGGCAUCAUCUUUGCCGAGUUCGACAGCAGGGGCGACCCGGCGGAGAUCGAUCUUGGGGUCAUGCCCAUUUGGGCCCAGGUUCGUGAUGUCCCUUUCGAGCUCAAGACGGAGAGUAUGGGAUGGACUUUCGGGGAUCAGUUGGGGGAAGUGGUGGAUGUGUCGCACCGUAAUCAUGUCACAGUUGAAAAAUUCUUGCGAGUGCGUGUGGGUAUCUUGCUGCACGAUCCGCUCAAGAGCACUGUAGAGUUCACCACGUUAGGAAGCUCCAAGAAAAUUAGAUAUGAUGUCCGGUAUGAAAAACUACCUCGGUAUUGUGAGUGCUGUGGGCUUAUAGGUCAUACUUCCGAACGUUUCUGUAGUAUUCCAAAAGAAAAGAGAGUAGCUAUCUACCCAAAAAAUCUUAGUGUAGAUGCUUACUGGAAGGGUCAAGGGUCACACAAGAGAGAGGUUAUCUUAGGAGGUUUUCCUAGAGGUGAUCAGUCUUCGGUCAUCGCACCCGACAACAGAAACAAGUCAAAGGCCAUGGAGGGUGUCGUCGUCAAAGUGGCCAAGGCGGUGAGUGUGCUCACUGUCUCCGACAAGGACGGGAAUGUAGCGCCAAAGGCGGCCCAGCCUAGUUUCCCGCUCGGCCAGGAGGGGUGGGCGUCGGAGGCUCCUUCAUCAAUUCCUAUCGGUGCUGCGCUCAGUCAGGAGGGCCGGGCUGCAGUGCCAAAGGCGGCCCAGCCUAGUUUCCCUCUCGGCCAGGAGGGCCGGGCGUCGGAGGCUCCUUCACCGACUCUGGUCGGUGCUGUGCUCGGUCAGGAGGGCCGGAUUGCAGCGCCGAAGGCAUCUACUGGCCUUGGCCAGGAGGGCCAAGGACUGGCAUCCCUGAUGCUCACCCAGUCGGGUGUGAUGUUUGGUCAGGAGGGGAUGCAGCCAGGGGGUUUCAGCACCUCCAAGUCUGCUGUACCAGCUGCAGUUCACCAGGAGAAAACUGCUGACCAGGAGGGCCAAGGGCUCACGGGCGGGCCUCCUGCCCCGGAGGGCGCUGCACAAGAGUGGCUGGAGGUCCCCAGCGUCCCCAAAUCUGCUAUGGCUGAUGCGGCCCGUUUGGGUGUCACUAGUGGCCAGGAGGGACUGAACCUGGGUGUGCCCGGCUUUGCAAAUGGAGCAGCACAAGGGGCUGUUAAGUGUUUUUUGACAUCCACAAAUCUUCAAGACCAAUUGUUGUUCCAGCCAGGGCCAGCUAAAGAGGAUGGGGAAGAAAGAGAAAAAGGGAAGAACGAUGUGAGUGUUUCUUCAAAACGAGUGUGUAUUGGUAGAGUAGAAAGAGUGAAGGAUGUUUAUGGUGUUGUGACACAUGUCGCGAAGGAGUUAGAAGAGAAGGAGGAGGAGUAUGUGCAACAGGGAGGGGAGUCAGUUGGUGAAGAGAAGGAAGAAACUGGCCAAAUGAAAAUUUUAGGAUGGAACUGCCGUGGUAUGCUCUCCCCCACGGCAGUUCGUGAGCUCAUGGAGCUCCAAGGACGGGUGAACCCAAAGCUAGUUUUUCUUUCUGAAUCGCAUUUAAAUAAAAUAAAGGCUGAUGAGCUACGUUGUAAAUUAGGUUUUAAUUCUAUGUUUCUAUCAGAGAGUGAUGGUAAGGCUGGUGGUCUUGUAUGGUGGUCUUGUAUUAUAUUAUCAAAACGAGAAUAA